UGGGGAAUAUUGCACAAUGGGGGAAGACCCUGAUGCAGCGACGCCGCGUGAGCGAAGAAGUAUUUCGGUAUGUAAAGCUCUAUCAGCAGGGAAGAAAUAGGACGGUACCUGACUAAGAAGCACCGGCUAAAUACGUGCCAGCAGCCGCGGUAAUACGUAUGGUGCAAGCGUUAUCCGGAUUUACUGGGUGUAAAGGGAGCGUAGACGGUUGUGUAAGUCUGAUGUGAAAGCCCGGGGCUCAACCCCGGGACUGCAUUGGAAACUAUGUAACUAGAGUGUC
This 280-nucleotide ribosomal RNA is filed under the name uncultured Lachnospiraceae bacterium. RNAcentral's name for it is "partial 16S ribosomal RNA". It matches the Rfam family "Bacterial small subunit ribosomal RNA", at positions 355 to 650 of the family's 1533-position model. Lineage: Bacteria; Bacillati; Bacillota; Clostridia; Lachnospirales; Lachnospiraceae. The record is from RNAcentral.